This 253-nucleotide ribosomal RNA is filed under the name uncultured bacterium. RNAcentral describes it as "partial 16S ribosomal RNA". It matches the Rfam family "Bacterial small subunit ribosomal RNA", at positions 524 to 776 of the family's 1533-position model. The record is from RNAcentral.
UACGGGGGGAGCAAGCGUUGUUCGGAUUUACUGGGCGUAAAGGGCGCGUAGGCGGCGUGACAAGUCACUUGUGAAAUCCCCGGGCUUAACUCGGAACGGUCAAGUGAUACUGUCGUGCUAGAGUACAGAAGGGGCAACUGGAAUUCUCGGUGUAGCGGUGAAAUGCGUAGAUAUCGAGAGGAACACCUGCGGCGAAGGCGGGUUGCUGGGCUGAUACUGACGCUGAGGCGCGAAAGCUAGGGGAGCGAACGGG